This 21-nucleotide non-coding RNA is filed under the name Mus musculus (house mouse). The record is from RNAcentral. Lineage: Eukaryota; Metazoa; Chordata; Mammalia; Rodentia; Muridae.
UGAUGAUGUUGUGGACUCCCC